UAACACGUGGGUUAUCUACCUCCGGGUGGGGGAUAACUCUGGGAAACCGGAGCUAAUACCGCAUAAGCUCGAAAGAGGAAAGGCGCAAGACGCCGGGAGAGGAGCCCGCGGCUGAUUAGCUUGUUGGUGCGGGUAAAUGGCCUACACAAGGACUAGAGAUCAGUACGCCGGCCUGAGAGGGCACACGGCCACACUGGCACUGAAACACGGGCCUGACUCCUACGGGAGGCAGCANUGGGGAAUCUUGUCACAAUGGGGGAAACCUCUGAUGCAGCGUAUGCCGCGUGAGCGAUGAAGCCCUUCUGGGGUGUAAAGCUCUUUCGGCAGGGACGAUAAUCACGGUACCUGCANAACAAGCUGCGGCUAACUACCUNCCAUCAGCCGCGGUNAUACGUAGGCAGCGAGCGUUGUUCGGAGUUUCUGGGCGUNNAGNGUGAGUAGGGUGGUCCAGUCUGGUGUGAAAUCUCCCGGCUUAACCGGGAGGGUGCGCCUGGAACACUGGGCCGUUGAGUACGGGAGAGNGCAAGCGGCAAUUCCCAGGUGUACUCUGGCUAAAAUGUCUGUAGAUUCUGGAUGGAAACANCCGUGGUGUAACGGCUUGCUGGUACCGCAACUGACGCUGUAGGGCACGGAAAGCGGUGGGGAGCAAACAGGAUUUAGAUACCCUGGUUAGUCCAACGCCCCUAAACGAUGCAUACCUGGUGUGGGCAGUUCAGUCUGUCCGUGCCGAAGUUAACGCGAUAAGUAUGCCGCCUGGGGAGUACGGUCGCAAGGCUGAAACUCAAAGGAAUUGACGGGGGCCCGCACAAGCGGUGGAGCAUGUGGUUUAAUUCGACGCAACGCGAAGAACCUUACCUGGGCUCGAACGGCUUCUGACCGCCGGUGGAAACACUGGUUUUCCCGCAAGGGACAGGAGUCGAGGUGCUGCAUGGCUGUCGUCAGCUCGUGUCGUGAGAUGUUGGGUUAAGUCCCGCAACGAGCGCAACCCUUGUCCUGUGUUGCAACCCUUCGGGGGCACUCUCAGGAGACCGCCAGCGAUAAGCUGGAGGAAGGUGGGGAUGACGUCAAGUCAUCAUGGCCUUUAUGUCCAGGGCUACACACGUGCUACAAUGGACGGUACAAACCGCCGCAAACCCGCGAGGGGGAGCAAAUCGGAAAAAACCGUUCUCAGUUCGGAUUGCAGGCUGCAACCCGCCUGCAUGAAGCUGGAAUCGCUAGUAAUGGUAUAUCAGAACGAUACCGUGAAUACGUUCCCGGGCCUUGUACACACCGCCCGUCACAUCACGAAAGUGGGUUGUACUAGAAGUCUGCGCGCCAACCCACAAGGGAGGCAGCGGCCCAAGGUAUGACUCAUGAUUGGGGUGAAGUCGUACAAGGUAGCCGUAGGAGAACCUGCGGCUGGAUCACCUCCUU
Molecule: ribosomal RNA, 1413 nt
Filed under: uncultured bacterium
Lineage: Bacteria
Description: 16S ribosomal RNA
Rfam family: Bacterial small subunit ribosomal RNA
Source: RNAcentral